Molecule: transfer-messenger RNA, 131 nt
Filed under: Clostridia bacterium
Lineage: Bacteria; Bacillati; Bacillota; Clostridia
Description: partial transfer-messenger RNA
Rfam family: transfer-messenger RNA
About the family: Bacterial tmRNA, also known as 10Sa RNA or SsrA, is named for its dual tRNA and mRNA-like properties. Its role is to liberate the mRNA from a stalled ribosome. To accomplish this part of the tmRNA is used as a reading frame that ends in a translation stop signal.
Source: RNAcentral
AAAAUGGCUACCCGAAUCGGAAGGCUGUCCGCCGCCGCCCGACGCGGGGAAUUCUAAAAGACGGAAUGCACUCGGAGAAAGCUGUAUCAAGAGGUUUUCGGACAGGGGUUCGACUCCCCUCGCCUCCACCA